RNAcentral lists this RNase P RNA (323 nucleotides) under Deltaproteobacteria bacterium. RNAcentral's name for it is "RNase P RNA component class A". It matches the Rfam family "Bacterial RNase P class A". From Rfam's summary of the family: Ribonuclease P (RNase P) is a ubiquitous endoribonuclease, found in archaea, bacteria and eukarya as well as chloroplasts and mitochondria. Its best characterised activity is the generation of mature 5'-ends of tRNAs by cleaving the 5'-leader elements of precursor-tRNAs. The record is from RNAcentral. Lineage: Bacteria; Pseudomonadati; Myxococcota; Myxococcia.
AAGCAAAAACAGUCGGUCGCGGAAGACUUUUAUGUCUUUCGAGGAAAGUCCGGGCUCCAAAGAGCAUAACGCCGUUUUAUAGCGGUGAAGGCAACUUUAAGGAAAGCGCAACAGAAAAUAUACCGCCUUAUUUAAUAGGGUAAGGGUGAAAUAGCGAGGUAAGAGCUCACUUGGACAUUAUGCAAAUAACGUCUAUGGCAAGCCCCGUUAGGAGCAAGAACAAAUAGGAAGACUUAAGGCUGCUCGCCUUGCAUAGUCUUCGGGUUGUUCGCACAGAGAAAUGACCGACCUUGACAGAACCCGGCUUAUGUUUUUGUUUGCGG